GAUUCUUGCCCCUUCUUUUGCUAUCUGACUUGCCCUGGAGAGAAAUACAAGAGCCCUUUGUUCGCGAGU
RNAcentral lists this small RNA (69 nucleotides) under Ditylum brightwellii. RNAcentral's name for it is "Mitochondrion-encoded tmRNA". Lineage: Eukaryota; Bacillariophyta; Thalassiosirophyceae; Lithodesmiales; Lithodesmiaceae. The record is from RNAcentral.